GACGAACGCUGGCGGCGUGCUUAACACAUGCAAGUCGAACGGAAAGGCCCUGCUUUUGUGGGGUGCUCGAGUGGCGAACGGGUGAGUAACACGUGAGUAACCUGCCCUUGACUUUGGGAUAACUUCAGGAAACUGGGGCUAAUACCGGAUAGGAGCUCCUGCUGCAUGGUGGGGGUUGGAAAGUUUCGGCGGUGUGGGAUGGACUCGCGGCUUAUCAGCUUGUUGGUGGGGUAGUGGCUUACCAAGGCUUUGACGGGUAGCCGGCCUGAGAGGGUGACCGGCCACAUUGGGACUGAGAUACGGCCCAGACUCCUACGGGAGGCAGCAGUGGGGAAUAUUGCACAAUGGGCGGAAGCCUGAUGCAGCAACGCCGCGUGCGGGAUGACGGCCUUCGGGUUGUAAACCGCUGUCGCCUGUGACGAAGCGUGAGUGACGGUAAUGGGUAAAGAAGCACCGGCUAACUACGUG
RNAcentral lists this ribosomal RNA (468 nucleotides) under uncultured bacterium. RNAcentral's name for it is "partial 16S ribosomal RNA". It matches the Rfam family "Bacterial small subunit ribosomal RNA", at positions 28 to 507 of the family's 1533-position model. The record is from RNAcentral.